GAAACGCGAAAGGUAAUGCGAAUUGCAGAAUCAGUGAGUCAUCGAAUCUUUGAACGCACAUUGCGCCUCUCGGUAUUCCGGGAGGCACGCCUGUUCGAGCGCCAUUACACACUCCAAGCGUAGCUUGAUGUUGGACGAUGCGGGUCUCCUAGAGGACCGCACGUCUGGAACGCGUGGGCGCCCAUCGCCGGAUCACAAGCGUAGCAAGACGUUUCGUCAAUUUCGUUCUGUGAGCUCCGACGGGGGGCGGCCUCAUACUUUUUCUGUAUCAGAAGUUUGGCCUCGGAUCAGGCGGGGAUACCCGCUGAACUUAA
RNAcentral lists this unclassified non-coding RNA (314 nucleotides) under uncultured Verruconis. Its description in RNAcentral is "sequence contains ITS1". The stretch from base 1 to 104 matches the Rfam family "5.8S ribosomal RNA", at positions 50 to 154 of the family's 154-position model. The record is from RNAcentral. Lineage: Eukaryota; Fungi; Ascomycota; Dothideomycetes; Venturiales; Sympoventuriaceae.